GCAUUGCUGAGGCUCUGUUGGUAGUGCAUUGUGCUAGCAAAGCAAAGGUGGUGGAUUCAAAUCCCAGGGAAAGCA
Danionella cerebrum is the source of this 75-nucleotide non-coding RNA. The record is from the annotation of a GenBank genome assembly. NCBI's taxonomy places the organism in Eukaryota, Metazoa, Chordata, Actinopteri, Cypriniformes, Danionidae.